UUUCCGUAGGUGAACCUGAGGAAGGAUCAUUGUUGUGACCCUGACCAAAACAUACCGCGCACGCGUCAUCAAAUCCACCGGAGACGGCAGCGUCCGUUGCUCGGCCGCCUCCGCUCCUCGGAGUGGGGGCUCGGGGUAAAAGAACCCACGACGUCGAAGGCGUCAAGGAACACUGUGCCUAACCCGGGGGCAUGGCUAGCUUGCUUGUCGUCCCCUGUGUUGCAAAGCUAUUUAAUCCACAUGACUCUCGGCAACGGAUAUCUCGGCUCUC
This 271-nucleotide unclassified non-coding RNA is filed under the name root metagenome. RNAcentral describes it as "partial contains small subunit ribosomal RNA, internal transcribed spacer 1, and 5.8S ribosomal RNA". The record is from RNAcentral.